GGACAGGUGGCAGAGCGGUCGAUUGCUCCGGUCUUGAAAACCGGCGUGGGGGCAACCCCACCGUGGGUUCGAAUCCCACCCUGUCCGCCA
RNAcentral lists this transfer RNA (90 nucleotides) under Roseomonas indoligenes. RNAcentral describes it as "tRNA-Ser". It matches the Rfam family "tRNA". From Rfam's summary of the family: Transfer RNA (tRNA) molecules are approximately 80 nucleotides in length. The record is from RNAcentral. Lineage: Bacteria; Pseudomonadati; Pseudomonadota; Alphaproteobacteria; Acetobacterales; Roseomonadaceae. RNAcentral also lists the same sequence under 2 other names.